This 459-nucleotide ribosomal RNA is filed under the name uncultured bacterium. RNAcentral describes it as "partial 16S ribosomal RNA". It matches the Rfam family "Bacterial small subunit ribosomal RNA", at positions 338 to 795 of the family's 1533-position model. The record is from RNAcentral.
CCUACGGGAGGCUGCAGUGAGGAAUAUUGGUCAAUGGACGAGAGUCUGAACCAGCCAAGUAGCGUGAAGGAUGACUGCCCUAUGGGUUGUAAACUUCUUUUAUAAAGGAAUAAAACGAGGCACGUGUGCCUUUUUGCAUGUACUUUAUGAAUAAGGAUCGGCUAACUCCGUGCCAGCAGCCGCGGUAAUACGGAGGAUCCGAGCGUUAUCCGGAUUUAUUGGGUUUAAAGGGUGCGCAGGCGGCCUGUUAAGUCAGCGGUAAAAGCCCGGGGCUCAACCCCGGCGAGCCGUUGAAACUGGCGGUCUGGAGUGGGAGAGAAGUACGCGGAAGGCGCGGUGUAGCGGUGAAAUGCUUAGAUAUCGCGCAGAACCCCGAUUGCGAAGGCAGCGUACCGGCUCCACACUGACGCUGAGGCACGAAAGCGUGGGUAUCGAACAGGAUUAGAUACCCGUGUAGUC